This 2089-nucleotide long non-coding RNA is filed under the name Equus caballus (horse). RNAcentral's name for it is "lncRNA (ENSECAG00000045515.1)". Lineage: Eukaryota; Metazoa; Chordata; Mammalia; Perissodactyla; Equidae. The record is from RNAcentral.
UUGCCACCCACUGCCUCAUUUAUCUCACUGAGGCGGAGAUGACAUCACACUAAAAAUCCUUUUCCCUUCUGGGUCUGGCUGGACCUCUGGGCUCACAGGUCUUGAUCUGCACUCCCAAAUCUGACUCACGCUGAAGAGGACAUCAAGAGGCAGAGAACACCAUCAAGCCAAGGCAACUCACUCUAGGAUCUAAAGGAGAUGUCAGAGAGACCUGGGUCCUGAUGCACAGCGAGGAUUCUUUUUUUUUUUUAAUUAUUAUUUUUUUUAAAGAUUUUAUUUUUCCUUUUUUCUCCCCAAAACCCCCCCGGUACAUAGUUGUAUAUUCUUCGUUGUGGGUCCUUCUAGUUGUGGCAUGUGGGACGCUGCCUCAGCGUGGUUUGAUGAGCAGUGCACUUCCUGUUAUGCGCUAGGGCAGGGACGCAGAGCAGAUGGGCAUACCUGCUUUCUGCUCUGGAGGGAGGCGCUACCUCACACAUCUCGAGGCUGUCUGCUACUUGAAGAUCCUUGAAAAGGCAAUCUGGGCAAAAGGGCAGCCGGCACCUCGCUCCGAGGACUGCAGAAACUCGAGACUCAUGGGCAAGUGUCCCCAGACGCAGCCGCGUGGAGGCUGGUGUGCUCAGCCUCUGCAGUUGGACUGAAGGGAUCCGCGUCCACUGGAAGCCUUCACCUGCAAGGGAAGAAGCGUGGUGUGACCUCACCACCCGGAGGAGCACAGAACUGGGCCGCCCUGCCACGACCAUGCUGGCCACUCUUUCCACCAUGGCCUAUCCCUGACUGUACCCCACAGUGCUCACACCAAAGGACACAACCUAUUUCCCUCCAACCCAAACUUCCCACCCGCUUCUAGAUUCCCCUCUGUCUGGCAUCCUGGAAACGAGCACACACGGUAGGGCUGGAGAGGCCUGGCGUCCAAGCCCGACCUGCUAGGUUCCAGCUGGGCAACCCUGGACACAGAAUUCUGACUGUGGGCUUUUGUACUAGACCUAAGACCACCUCAUCGUGGUCCUCAAAGAUUUAAACUGGGUGAAGAACUACGAAGUUCGGCACAAAACAAGAGUCCAAGCAACAAGAGAGCCCUCCUCUCCCAGGAGGUCUUCCCUUGAGAUCAGUGCACUGACCCUGCCCUUGGUCAGCUCCUGGGGCAUUCAGCUCUGCUGCAGAAUUUAGCCUCUGGUUCUCUUUGGUUUGCCUGUUGUCAACACCCUGUACCCUCCAGGCAGGGCUCACCCCUGUAACUCCUUUCUACUCUUUAUUCCCUGAUGCUGGUCCAACUUUACCUUUACCACUCCCCCUGAGCUUUAUUUUCAAAUUUUGUACAGGUUUUGUUUUAAGAAUAUAAUAAAAUUCGCAAUGAGCCUGACACAUAGAAAACACCCAAAGUCCAAAACAACUUUUGCAGAGAUGUGGAUGUUCUAUAUUCUGCACAGUCCAGUACAGUAGCCAUUUGCCACAUGACUACUAAGCAUCUGAAAUGUGGGUAGUAUGAAUGAAAAACUGAAUUAAAAUUUUUUUUUUAAAGAUUGGCACCUGGGCUAACAACUGUUGCCAAUCUUUUUUUUUUUUCCCUUCUGCUUUAUCUCCCCAAACCUCCCCCCUCCCUCCCGUACGUAGUUAUAUAUCUUAGCUGCAGGUCCUUCUAGCUGUGGCAUAUGGGCCGCCGCCUCAACGUGGCCUGACGAGCGGUGCCAUGUCCGCGCCCAGGAUCCGAACCCUGGGCCGCCGCAGCCCAGCGUGCGAACUUAACCACUCGGCCACGGAGCCGGCCCCUGAGUUUUAAAAUUUAAGUUCAAGUUAACCAUAUGCUGCAAGUGGUUACCACAUCAGACAGUACAGAUCUAUACAAUGCCUAGCACACCAGAUAGGGAAGGGAGCAGGCGAUUGUCUGAAAUUUCUAUAACCUUGCUCUGGAUGGAGCAGGGCAAGGCCUCAAACCGUUUCAAAAUGUUCUCGCAAGCACUGUAGGAAUGCACAGGGUCACCCCAGACCCAAGCACGCUGGAGGCUUGCAGCCCACACUCAUUUAAGCCCCUCAAGCCCGGGGAGCUGAGAAGAGAGAUCAUGGGGUUAAACUGGGCCUACUUGGGUUUAUU